GUAGGUGGCAAGCGUUGUCCGGAAUUAUUGGGGCGUAAAGCGCGCGCAGGCGGUUUUUUAAGUCUGAUGUGAAAGCCCACGGCUCAACCGUGGAGGGUCAUUGGAAACUGGAGAACUUGAGUGCAGAAGAGGAGAGCGGAAUUCCACGUGUAGCGGUGAAAUGCGUAGAGAUGUGGAGGAACACCAGUGGCGAAGGCGGCUCUCUGGUCUGUAACUGACGCUGAGGCGCGAAAGCGUGGGGAGCAAACAGGAUUAGAUACCCUGGUAGUCCACGCCGUAAACGAUGAGUGCUAAGUGUUAGAGGGUUUCCGCCCUUUAGUGCUGCAGCAAACGCAUUAAGCACUCCGCCUGGGGAGUACGGUCGCAAAGACUGA
This 374-nucleotide ribosomal RNA is filed under the name uncultured organism. Its description in RNAcentral is "partial 16S ribosomal RNA". It matches the Rfam family "Bacterial small subunit ribosomal RNA", at positions 527 to 897 of the family's 1533-position model. The record is from RNAcentral.